AUUGAACGCUGGCGGCAGGCCUAACACAUGCAAGUCGAGCGGAGUGGCGGACGGGUGCGUAAUGCCUAGGAAUCUGCUUGGUCGUGUGGGAUAACGUCCGGAAUCGGGCGCCAAUACCGCAUACUAUCAGAUGAGCCUAGGUCGGAUUAGCUAGUUGGUGGGGUGAAGGCCUACCAAGGCGACGAUCCGUAACUGGUCUGAGAGGAUGAUCAGUAACACAGGAAAUGAGACACGGUCCAGACUCCUACGAGAGGCAGCAGAGGGGAAUAUUGGACAAUGGGCGAAAGCCUGAUCCAGCCGUGCCGCGUGUGUGAAGAAGGUCGUCGGAUUGUAAAACGCUUUAAGUGGAGAGGCGUUAACAACAGAAUAAGCACCGGCUAACGUCGUGCCAGCCGCCACGGUAAUAC
Molecule: ribosomal RNA, 407 nt
Filed under: uncultured bacterium
Lineage: Bacteria
Description: partial 16S ribosomal RNA
Rfam family: Bacterial small subunit ribosomal RNA
Source: RNAcentral